Molecule: ribosomal RNA, 433 nt
Filed under: uncultured bacterium
Lineage: Bacteria
Description: partial 16S ribosomal RNA
Rfam family: Bacterial small subunit ribosomal RNA
Source: RNAcentral
AACGAACGCUGGCGGCAUGCCUAACACAUGCAAGUCGAACGAGACCUUCGGGUCUAGUGGCGCACGGGUGCGUAACGCGUGGGAACCUGCCCUUAGGUUCGGAAUAACUCCCCGAAAGGGGUGCUAAUACCGGAUAAUGUCUUCGGACCAAAGAUUUAUCGCCUUUGGAUGGGCCCGCGUUGGAUUAGCUAGUUGGUAGGGUAAAAGCCUACCAAGGCGACGAUCCAUAGCUGGUCUGAGAGGAUGAUCAGCCACACUGGGACUGAGACACGGCCCAGACUCCUACGGGAGGGAGCAGUGGGGAGUAUUGGACGAUGGGCGAAGGCCUGAUCAAGCAGUGCGGCGUAAGUGAUGAAGGCCUUAGGGUUGUAAAGCUCUUUUACCCGGGAUGAUAAUGACAGUACCGGGAGAAUAAGCUCCGGCUAACUCCGUG